UGCUGACUGUGUGAUGACCACACUUUUUUCCCCAUCAGAUCGAUAAUGUUGAUUUGUGAUGCUUUUAAGCCAGUUUUGUCUGAUCGUCAGCA
RNAcentral lists this small nucleolar RNA (92 nucleotides) under Pelobates cultripes (western spadefoot toad). It matches the Rfam family "Small nucleolar SNORD12/SNORD106". Rfam says of the family: This family belong to the C/D class of snoRNA which contain the C (UGAUGA) and D (CUGA) box motifs. This family includes the human ortholog of mouse snoRNA HBII-99 and human snoRNA U106. Lineage: Eukaryota; Metazoa; Chordata; Amphibia; Anura; Pelobatidae. The record is from RNAcentral.